This 661-nucleotide ribosomal RNA is filed under the name uncultured Bacillus sp. Its description in RNAcentral is "bacterial SSU rRNA". It matches the Rfam family "Bacterial small subunit ribosomal RNA", at positions 8 to 643 of the family's 1533-position model. Lineage: Bacteria; Bacillati; Bacillota; Bacilli; Caryophanales; Bacillaceae. The record is from RNAcentral.
AGAGUUUGAUCAUGGCUCAGGACGAACGCUGGCGGCAUGCCUAAUACAUGCAAGUCGUGCGCAGGAAGCAGGCUGAAAUCUUCGGAUGGACGUUUGUGGAAUGAGCGGCGGAUGGGUGAGUAACACGUGGGCAACCUGCCUGUAAGAUUGGGAUAACUCCGGGAAACCGGUGCUAAUACCGAAUAAAACUUUUGAUCUCCUGAUCAAGAGGUGAAAGACGGCUUUUAGCUGUCACUUACAGAUGGGCCCGCGGCGCAUUAGCUAGUUGGUGGGAUAAAAGCUUACCAAGGCGACGAUGCGUAGCCGACCUGAGAGGGUGAUCGGCCACACUGGGACUGAGACACGGCCCAGACUCCUACGGGAGGCAGCAGUAGGGAAUCUUCCGCAAUGGACGCAAGUCUGACGGAGCAAUGCCGCGUGAGUGAUGAAGGUUUUCGGAUUGUAAAACUCUGUUGUUAGGGAAGAACAAGUACCGUUCAAAUAGGGCGGUAGCUUGACGGUACCUACCCAGAAAGCCCCGGCUAACUACGUGCCAGCAGCCGCGGUAAUACGUAGGGGGCGAGCGUUGUCCGGAAUUAUUGGGCGUAAAGGCGCGCAGGCGGUCUUCUAAUCUGAUGUGAAAGCCCCGGCUUACCGUGAAGGUCAUUGGAACUGGAGACUU